Molecule: RNA transcript, 3506 nt
Organism: Humulus lupulus (European hop)
Lineage: Eukaryota; Viridiplantae; Streptophyta; Magnoliopsida; Rosales; Cannabaceae
Gene name: protein FAR1-RELATED SEQUENCE 5
Exons: 5
Source: RefSeq, a predicted model, not a curated record
AAUACAAUACGAAGGGCUCACCUCACCAUUUUUACGCUCUCCACUCUCUUCUCCAACAUUGCUCGUCUUCAUCUUCUUCACUAAACCUUUUUCCGAUUCCAUUUCAAUAAUAAUCAUUGUCAGUACACUCAAGUUGCUCUUUCAUUCAAUGCUUUAAAAAUUCACAGCCCCAAAUUGCCUGAAAUUUCUAGAUUUUCUAGGGUUUUUCGUUAUCAUUUCUCUUCUGCAAAACCCUAGACCAAACUUCCCUUUUCUGCAAGCAAGCAAGACCCUUUUGAUUGUUUACGAUGAGGAUGCUCCAGAGGUAUCGUUCUCGUUGGGAUGAGUCUGCAACGUUGAGGAGAGACGUAUAAUUCACCUAAUUGGGUUUUUUUGAGUACUCAUUUGGUAUUGAGCAACUGAACUCUAUUUGACAUGGACAAUGAAGUGAUUGAAUUUGAUAUUGGGUUGGGAGCAGGGGAAGGAGGAAGUGGCAGAGAAGGAGAUGACGAUGGAUUGGAUAUUGAACACCAUGUUGAUGAUGAGGAAAUGGCUGACAGCCCUCCUUUUACUAGUGGUGGCAGUGGUGGUGGUUUUGGUGGCAGUGGUGAGAUAUACCUUCCUGAGGGAGACUUAUUGGACCUUGAACCUUCUGAGGGGAUGGAAUUUGAGUCUGAAGAAGCUGCCAAGGCCUUUUAUAACUCUUAUGCUCGCCGAGUUGGGUUCAGUACCCGUGUGAGCUCGUCUCGCAGGUCUAGGCGUGAUGGGGCAAUUAUACAGAGGCAAUUUGUCUGUGCCAAAGAAGGGUUUAGAAAUUUGAAUGAGAAGCGUACAAAAGAUAGGGAAAUCAAGCGGCCACGAACUAUCACCAGAGUUGGAUGCAAAGCAUCAUUGUCUGUGAAGAUGCAAGAUUCUGGAAAAUGGGUUGUGUCUGGUUUUGUUAGAGAACAUAAUCAUGAGUUGGUUCAACCUGAUCUAGUGCAUUGUCUCCGUUCUCACCGUCAAAUCUCUGGCCCUGCUAAGACUUUGAUUGAUACCUUGCAGGCAGCUGGGAUGGGUCCUCGUAGAAUUAUGUCAGCUCUUAUAAAAGAAUAUGGUGGAAUAAGUAAGGUUGGAUUUACAGAGGUGGAUUGUAGGAAUUACAUGAGGAAUAAUCGCCAGAGGAGCUUAGAAGGGGAUAUUCAAUUGCUCCUAGAUUAUUUGAGGCAGAUGCAUGCUGAUAACUCUAAUUUCUUUUAUGCUGUACAGGGUGAAGAGGAUCAGUCAUCCGGCAAUGUAUUUUGGGCUGAUCCAAAGGCAAGGAUGAACUAUAAUUAUUUUGGUGAUACUGUAACUUUUGAUACAACCUAUAGGUCAAACAGGUAUCGAUUGCCCUUCGCACCCUUCACUGGAGUAAAUCAUCAUGGACAGCCUGUGUUGUUUGGUUGUGCUUUUUUGAUAAAUGAAUCUGAAUCAUCGUUCUUAUGGUUGUUUAACACUUGGCUUACAGCAAUGUCUGGUCGCCCUCCAUUUUCAAUUACCACAGAUCAUGAUGCAGUUAUACGAUCAGCCAUAAUGCAAGUAUUUCCGGAAACCCGUCAUCGUUUCUGUAAAUGGCACAUAUUCAAGAAAUGUCAGGAGAAGUUGUCUCACGUGUUUCUUAAACAUCCAACUUUUGAAGCAGACUUUCACAAAUGUGUCAACUUGACUGAGUCAAUUGAGGAAUUUGAGUCUUGUUGGUUGUCUCUUGUUGAUAGAUACGAACUCAGGGAUCAUGAGUGGCUUCAAACAAUAUAUUCUGCUCGCAGGCAGUGGGUCCCAGUGUAUUUGCGGGAUACUUUUUUUGCAGAAAUGUCCAUAACGCAGAGAAGUGAUAGUAUGAACUCAUAUUUUGAUGGAUACAUAAAUGCUUCAACCAAUCUAAAUCAGUUUUUCAAGCUGUAUGAGAAAGCUCUUGAAAGCCGUAAUGAGAAGGAGGUGAAAGCAGACUAUGAUACUAUGAACACUUCUCCUGUCCUUAAGACUCCAUCUCCAAUGGAGAAGCAAGUAUCAGAGCUUUAUACCAGAAAAUUAUUUGCGAGGUUUCAAGAGGAGCUAGUUGGGACCUUAACUUUCAUGGCAUCCAAGGCUGAGGAUGAUGGGGAGGUCAUCACGUAUCAAGUAUCAAAAUAUGGGGAGGAUCAUAAAGCAUAUUAUGUUAAGUUCAAUGUUUUGGAGAUGAAAGCAAAUUGUAGUUGCCAGAUGUUCGAGUUUUCAGGUCUUCUUUGCAGACAUAUUUUGGCAGUUUUUAGAGUCACCAACGUGCUAACUCUCCCAGCACAUUACAUAUUGAAACGAUGGACAAGGAAUGCCAAAAGCAGUGUCAUAUUAGAAGAACAUUGUAGUGAUUUAUAUACCAAUUAUCUGGAGUCUCACACUGUUCGAUAUAAUACUCUACGUCACGAGGCCUUUAAAUUUGUAGAUGAAGGAGCAAAGUCCUCAGAAACAUAUGAAGCUGCCUUGAUUGCUCUGCAAAAAGCUGCAGAAAAGGUUGAUCAUGCAAUAAAGAAUUCCAGCAAAUCUGCCAUGGUGAAUGGACGCUUCAGAGGGAAUUCCACUGUAGAUGCCAGUCGUGUAAAUCAUACUAGCGGGGAUAGGGAAGGGAGCUCAGGCCAACAUAUGUCAGAGGAUGAUAUGGACAAGAGAAUUAGAGAACUUACAAAUGAGUUGGAGAAUGCAAAUAGGAAGUGUGAGGUUUAUCGAGCUAAUCUGCUUUCAGUUUUGAAAGAUAUCGAGGAUCAUAAGCUACAGUUGUCAAUUAAAGUGCAAAACAUUAAGAUUAGCAUGAAAGAUGGUCUUUAAAGGUGCUACAAUGCUAUACUUGUACUUCCGUUUGUUUUAUUUUAUUUUAUUAUCUCAAGUCAAUGUACUUUUACAGUAGUCUUUGAAUUAAAUUGUUCCUUAUGAGUGGUGUAGGGAUCGAAAGUCUGCAAAGAUAUUUUUUUCUUGCACUUUGUAGUUUAAUAUCGCUAGUGACUUGAUGUGUACCUUAUAGUUUAGUUUAUGUUUUCCUGGCUCAAAUUCUAUGAGAUGGUUAGCCUUGUCUCUGACAUGAUGAAAGGCAUUUCUCAGUAACCAUCUUGUAAGAACAAUUGGCAAGUAAACUCUUGUUUCUGCAGAGAAUCAAGGGAGGUUUGCACUAGACUGUAGACCAUGGAUUUUGGUCACAAAUUUGGCACAUGGGAGGCUUCCAUGCGUUUUUAAGUUGUUUUCAGAUGGAUUCAAACAGUUCACAUGAGGAAAACAUGUUUGAAUGGAUGGUUGCUAACGAAGGAAGGCAGGCAGGUGUGAAAGUGAGCAUGGUGAGUUCUAGUUGGAUAUGGAAGAUUUUGUCAUUUGGACUUCUUUUCAAGUUAUUUCCACAAAGCUACUGAUUCAUUUUAACUUUCAAUGUAUUUCUUGAUUUGCCUGUAAAAUAAGGUAGCGUUCUUUUAACUAAUGACAACUCUCUGAUCGAUUUAGGAGGUUAGUUUUUACUUCAAUAAAAUCUGUUACUGUAAUUUGUUUCA